Non-coding RNA from Pelobates cultripes (western spadefoot toad), 700 nucleotides. Lineage: Eukaryota; Metazoa; Chordata; Amphibia; Anura; Pelobatidae. The record is from the annotation of a GenBank genome assembly.
UGCCACAGUUGUUGCGUUAGUUCAGCAGUGAACUGAGUACCCCUGUUGGAUAGGAUCUCCCUAGGGAAUCCUACCCGAGAGAAUACUCGUACUAAGGCGUUAGCUACGGUGUCCGCCUGAAUAUUGGAUAGAGCCACUGCCACUGCGGGUAGCAUAAUAAACCACGGUAAGAAUGUAUCUCUUUCUGGAUGGACUAGGGGUGGUGAGGGGCCCUACUAGGUCGAUGGCUACCCGGCUAAAAGGUUCCUCUAUAAUGGGCAUGUUCACGAGGUGUGCCUUAGGGUGGUCUCCCCUCUUGCCUACCCAUUGGCAUACAUCACAUGUGUUGCAGUAUGUGCGCACAUCUGCAUGUACCCCUGGCCAGAAGAGCGUAUGGGUGAUCCGUUUGAGGGUACGGGUCACUGCUAAAUGUCCGGCUCAUGGGAUGUCAUGACCCACUCUGAGUAUAUCUCGUCUAUACUUGUGGGGAAUGACUAGCUGCCUCCUAUGGUUGCCUUUCUUUUCGGUAAGUCUGUAUAGUCUGCCCUGUUCCCAUGCGAAUGUCUCUUGGUCUAAUCCCCCAGUCCCUGUAUUGGCUCUUUCUCUAUAUUUCUGCAGGGUCGGGUCGGUUUUAGUUUCAGCCUCAAAGGCUGCAGGGGUAUCCCAGGGUAAUGGGGACGGGUGGUUAGUCAGUCGGGUUUGGUCUUACCUGAGUCUCCAG